CAGAGUGUAAAAACUCCCUAAACCAUUGUGAACUUACCUAUCUGUUGCUUCGGUGGGCAGCCCCCUCUCCGGGGGGGCCCCUCGGCCGCAAGGCGCCCGCCGGAGGUAUCUAAAAACUCUUGUCUUCUGAACCGGUCUUUCUGAGUAAAAAAAGAAAUCAGUUA
RNAcentral lists this unclassified non-coding RNA (164 nucleotides) under uncultured Ascomycota. Its description in RNAcentral is "sequence contains ITS1". The record is from RNAcentral. Lineage: Eukaryota; Fungi; Ascomycota.